Long non-coding RNA from Lynx canadensis (Canada lynx), 100 nucleotides. RefSeq lists it as uncharacterized. Lineage: Eukaryota; Metazoa; Chordata; Mammalia; Carnivora; Felidae. The record is from RefSeq and is a predicted model, not a curated record. The transcript has 4 exons.
GGCUCAUUGAUGAUUCUAAGUACAUUAAGACCAGCAAUAGUUCCAGCAUCUUGGUAGCCUGAACGCUGAGAAUCAGAUCGGAAGAGACAGGUCUGACCUC